This 64-nucleotide transfer RNA is filed under the name Terrisswalkerius athertonensis. RNAcentral's name for it is "tRNA-Asp". The record is from RNAcentral. Lineage: Eukaryota; Metazoa; Annelida; Clitellata; Crassiclitellata; Megascolecidae.
GAAAUACUAGUUAAAACAUAAUAAUGCUUUGUCAGAGCAUAGUUGCUAAGGUUAGCGUAUUUCU